Erinaceus europaeus (western European hedgehog) is the source of this 316-nucleotide unclassified non-coding RNA. Its record names the gene 7SK. It matches the Rfam family "7SK RNA". Rfam says of the family: 7SK was discovered as an abundant small nuclear RNA in the mid-70s but a possible function has only recently been suggested. Two independent studies have found that 7SK RNA binds the CDK9/cyclin T complex (known as elongation factor P-TEFb). The record is from Ensembl. Lineage: Eukaryota; Metazoa; Chordata; Mammalia; Eulipotyphla; Erinaceidae.
GGAUGUGAGGGUGAUAUGGCUUUGACAUCUGUCACCCCAUUGAUCACCAGGGUUGAUUCGGCUGACCUGGCUGGCUAGGCAGGUGUCCCCUUCCUCCCUCACUGCUCCACGCGCUCAGUCGAAGAGGACGGCCUUCCCUGACAGACUGGUCUUCGGUUGAGGAUAUACAAGUAGCUGCGCUCCCCUGCUAGAACCUCUAAGCAAGCUCUCCAUAUAUAAAGCAGAACAAAUUGUUUAAUGAUCAGGAACCUUUACAAUGGCUUUAUAAUCUCUCCAGUCAAACACGAGAAGGUGUGUUUUUUGUUUGUUUCACUUG